Molecule: ribosomal RNA, 229 nt
Filed under: uncultured eukaryote
Lineage: Eukaryota
Description: partial small subunit ribosomal RNA
Rfam family: Eukaryotic small subunit ribosomal RNA
Source: RNAcentral
GGAAAACUUACCAGGUCCAGACAUAAUGAGGAUUGACAGAUUGAGAGCUCUUUCUUGAUUUUAUGGGUGGUGGUGCAUGGCCGUUCUUAGUUGGUGGAGUGAUUUGUCUGGUUAAUUCCGUUAACGAACGAGACCCCCGCCUGCUAAAUAGGUCCGUGAAUGAAUUUCAUUGACGAGAUCUUCUUAGAGGGACUUUUGGUGACUAACCAAAGGAAGUUGGGGGCAAUAA